GAUUUACCUUUUGAUAGCAGGAACCAGAAGAACUACCCUGCCGCUGCUGUUAAUGAAAUAUCUACUGGUAAAUUAGAAAAGUUAUUGAUCAAGCAAUACAAUCAUGACUUCAAUGAAAAGUACCAGUAAGGAAUCAGAAGAAAUGGCCAGGGAAGAGGUAAAGUUAUUGGAUAUUAUGAACUGCUCAGUAAAGAUGAUAGAUGGACACUAUUGUCUGGACUU
Long non-coding RNA from Amblyraja radiata (thorny skate), 222 nucleotides. RefSeq lists it as uncharacterized. The transcript is spliced from 3 exons. Lineage: Eukaryota; Metazoa; Chordata; Chondrichthyes; Rajiformes; Rajidae. The record is from RefSeq and is a predicted model, not a curated record.